RNAcentral lists this ribosomal RNA (253 nucleotides) under uncultured bacterium. RNAcentral describes it as "partial 16S ribosomal RNA". It matches the Rfam family "Bacterial small subunit ribosomal RNA", at positions 524 to 776 of the family's 1533-position model. The record is from RNAcentral.
AACGUAGGAGGCAAGCGUUAUCCGGAUUUACUGGGCGUAAAGGGCGUGCAGGUGGUCGUGUAAGUGGUGCGUGAAAGCGCCUGGCUCAACCGGGCGAGGCCGUGCCAAACUGCGCGACUAGAAACAGACAGAGGCAAGUGGAAUUCCGGGUGUAGUGGUGAAAUGCGUAGAGAUCCGGAGGAACUCCUGUGGCGAAGGCGACUUGCUGGGUCUGGUUUGACACUCAGACGCGAAAGCAUGGGGAGCGAACGGG